Molecule: microRNA, 22 nt
Filed under: Salmo salar (Atlantic salmon)
Lineage: Eukaryota; Metazoa; Chordata; Actinopteri; Salmoniformes; Salmonidae
Description: ssa-miR-130b-5p
Gene: ssa-miR-130b-5p
Source: miRBase by way of RNAcentral
GCCCCUUUUGUAUUGUACUACU